This 1043-nucleotide ribosomal RNA is filed under the name uncultured bacterium. Its description in RNAcentral is "bacterial SSU rRNA". It matches the Rfam family "Bacterial small subunit ribosomal RNA", at positions 8 to 1041 of the family's 1533-position model. The record is from RNAcentral.
AGGGUUUGAUCCUGGCUCAGAUUGAACGCUGGCGGCAGGCCUAACACAUGCAAGUCGAGCGGUAACAGGGAUAGCUUGCUAUCUGCUGACGAGCGGCGGACGGGUGCGUAACACGUAGGAAUCUACCCAGUAGCGGGGGAUAGCCCGGAGAAAUCCGGAUUAAUACCGCAUACGCCCUAAGGGGGAAAGCAGGGGAUCUUCGGACCUUGCACUACUGGAUGAGCCUGCGUCGGAUUAGCUAGUUGGUGGGGUAAAAGCCUACCAAGGCAACGAUCCGUAGCUGGUCUGAGAGGAUGAUCAGCCACACUGGGACUGAGACACGGCCCAGACUCCUACGGGAGGCAGCAGUGGGGAAUAUUGCACAAUGGGCGCAAGCCUGAUGCAGCCAUGCCGCGUGUGUGAAGAAGGCUCUAGGGUUGUAAAGCACUUUCAGCGAGGAGGAAAGGGGUUGAGCUAAUACCUCAGCUCUGUGACGUUACUCGCAGAAGAAGCACCGGCUAACUCCGUGCCAGCAGCCGCGGUAAUACGGAGGGUGCGAGCGUUAAUCGGGAUUACUGGGCGUAAAGCGUACGUAGGCGGCUACUUAAGUGGGAUGUGAAAGCCCUGGGCUCAACCUGGGAACUGCAUCCCAAACUGGGUAGCUAGAGUGCGAGAGAGGAGUGUGGAAUUUCCUGUGUAGCGGUGAAAUGCGUAGAUAUAGGAAGGAACACCAGUGGCGAAGGCGACACUCUGGCUUUGACACUGACGCUGAGGUACGAAAGCGUGGGGAGCAAACAGGAUUAGAUACCCUGGUUAGUCCACGCCGUAAACGAUGUCGACUAGUUGUUGGGAAGUCUUAGUACUUUUGGGUGACGAAGCUAACGCGAUAGUUCGACGCCUGGGGAGUACGGCCGCAAGGUUAAAACUCAAAUGAAUUGACGGGGGCCCGCACAGCGGUGGAGCAUGUGGUUAAUUCGAAGCAACGCGAAGACCUUACCUGCCUUGACAUCCUGCUGACUUUCUAAGAGAUAGAUAGGUGCCUUCGGGAAUCGCAUGGACAGGGC